GAACUUUUACCUAGCUCUGUUAGGAUUAACUUUGGUUUUAAAUGACGGUUAUUGUAAGACAUGGUCUUUCUUCACUUUUUUUAUUAUCAUUUGCAUUUCUUCUUUCUUUCUUUCUCUCUCCUUUUUUUAAGCAUUCAGCCUCUCACGGUAAGGCAAGUUAAACUAGCGUGCGCGAGCUGCUAAAUAUUAGCUGUUUCCAAAUUCAGGGGCUGCAUCCUUCGAAUUGACUUGAACGCUAGUGCAUUGAAAAAAUAGCAUGAGCACGAGGUCAGAGGAAAAGGCAAUGGCGGAUAGUUAUGAAAAUCGCCUGUCGGACCUUUACCACAACUACCAGCAUCUUUAUUGCAUAGUGUGAAACACUGCUAUUACAUUUGGCAACAGAUUGGAUAUUUAUCUGUGAAUUUUAUAUUGCAAGAGUAACGCCACAAAGAAAGCUGCCCCCUUUUUCUGGUUGUUUGUGCCUCCUCUUUAAUACAUGUGACUUGUAUGUGGCAGUGCAAGCGUUGUUCCAUCAGGGAGAGUAGUAGGUACAAAUUAUUGAAACACUGUAGAUUACAUCACCAUUAUGGACCCAGCCAGCGUUAUCUUUGUAUAUGUAAAUUGUCCAUGCACAUUUAAGACUUGGUGUGGACUAAAAACACAUGUUUACAGAUGUCACUCUUCUCAUUUUAAACAGACAGCUGUCAGUUCAGUCACUUUUAGGUGCGAGUUGUGUGACUGCAGUGACC
Long non-coding RNA from Oreochromis aureus, 728 nucleotides. RefSeq lists it as uncharacterized. Lineage: Eukaryota; Metazoa; Chordata; Actinopteri; Cichliformes; Cichlidae. The record is from RefSeq and is a predicted model, not a curated record. The transcript has 3 exons.